ACCCUCUCAAGCUUUGCUUGGUGUUGGGCGUCUGUCCCGCCUCGCGCGUGGACUCGCCCCAAAGGUAUUGGCAGCGGUCGUGCCAGCUUCUCGCGCAGCAUACGCGCUACGGAGGCGAGUCGACCAGCGUCCACAAGCACUUUUUACCA
Molecule: unclassified non-coding RNA, 149 nt
Filed under: uncultured Phoma
Lineage: Eukaryota; Fungi; Ascomycota
Description: sequence contains ITS2
Source: RNAcentral